UUACAUGUUUAGUCUAUAUCGGACUAUUGUAUCGAACGGUUGUACAAUAACUUGAGCAAAACGUGCAGAAAGUGUGUGUUUGAAAACAAAUGCAAUUUUAAAAGAACGAAGUCUUGUUAUUUUUUUUGUACGUCUUCUUUGAAUCGGCAAAGGCGCCAAGAAUUUUUUUAUCGUAAUUUUCGGUUUUAUUCCAAAGAAAACUUUUUUGAAUUGUACAAAUAAGGUGGACAAUUUUGAAAAUAUUGGGCGAGUUGCCUACUCGUUUAAGCGGACAUUUAAAAUCGUUUUGAAGUUUUUCGGGUUUUAAGCCGUUAGUGAUUUUUUGAAGGAGAAAAAAAUAAAAAAUAAAACAAACAUGAUAUAAAAUUACGAAUUUAUAAAAGUUCACUUUAAAGGCCAAAAAAAAAAAACAAAAUAACCUUAAAUUUAUUUUUAUAAAACCUGCCUUAAAUCCUCUCUUAACUGCCUUAUUACCAAAUAAAAAAAAUAUUCAAAAGUCUGUGAAAAGCAAAUGUAGUGAUAUUUUUAUAUAGAAAAAAAUAAAAUUUAAAAAUUUUUCUUAUAUAAAUAAUAAGUUUAAAACAACACAAAUUGUUAAGAAAUUAGUUUUACAUUUUUCGGGGAAAGAUUUUUCGCCAAUUAAUUGCUCGUAAUUAACUAUUUCUUUUAAUCGGUAUUUGAAUUUUUUAACAUAAAUGAUAUUUGCGAAAUUUUUUUAUUUUUGGGCAGUAUGCGGUAAUUGUAAAAAGUUACGUUAUCUCCAAUAAAAAAGAAAAAAUAAUAACAAAUCAAACAACCAACCAACAACUAAAUAAAUAUCCAUCCAACAACUCAAACCAACGUCAAUCCAACACAAUACAACUUUUUUCACUCACUCUACCUACCAACUAUCACUGCAACUUGCAUCUGAUCAAACACGGAUAUUUUUCAGUAGUUUGUUAUAUAUUGCUUUGUUGUUGUUGCUUUACAAUUUGCUUUUGCAUUUGGACUGCAAUCGAUCAAACAACACGAAACCCGACGAGUUCGGUUGCAACGAAACUUGUCUGUUGUUUUUUAUACAACCAAUGAUUGAGGCGAUUAUAAUUAUGAUUACGUUCGUUUGUUCGUUCGUUCAUUGAUACAUCAUACUUGCUCUCAUACCAAGGUCAAUAAACGUAAGAUUGCACGCGAUAUCAAUACAACAACAGUAACAACAAUAAUAAAAAAUAUAUAAAAAACCGGGGUCAACGGUAGGAAGGAGUAUACGAUCGUACCGUAUACGUUCACUCACUCUAUGUGUUUGUUUUGAUGUAUGAAAUUUAUAAUGAAAAUAAAAUGUGAAAUUAUUCAAUACAAUAAAAUGAAAAUUAAAAUUAAAGAAAAUUGCAACAACUAACCAAACCAAAAAUAUUGUUUACAACAAUACAAGUAUGAAAUCUUAUUAAUAAUCAUUUCAAUAAAACCAGUGAUUUAAGUGGAUUAAUAAAAUAUAUCAAAUGAAAAAUAAUUCAAACACUCACUCCUCCAAACAAAAAAUAAAUAAUAAUAAAAACAAAAUCACGACAAUUUCUUUGACAACACAAAAAAGCAAAACAAAAGAGGUUGUCAACACUAACUAAUUUUAUUUCAAAUUUGGUUUGUUUCCCACAUCAUGCUCUUUAUAUAUUAAGGACUUCAAUGAGUUGCAAGAGAACGCAUGACUUAAUUCGAUGCAUGAUCCUUCAAACAGAUAUAAAUGCGUCCCCAAAGACAAAGUGUGGGAUUUGUUGAUAUUAAGGCCAAUAAGACACCAUUUAUUAAGCGGAUACGUUGCAAAAUUAAAUCCUUAAAUCAAAGCAAAACUUUUACUAUAAAAUGAUAAAAAUCUAAAAUUCGCGUGUCUUAAACGCGAGUGUAAUGCAGAACGAAAUUUAUACAAAAUAAAAAUUUGAGCAAAGAAAGUAAUAAUAUGAAAAAAUGUUUGACAUUUUAAUAAAUUUAACAAGUAUUAAUUUAAUCAAAAUAAACAUAAAAACGUUACUUACAAUUAAUUUUUUCAUAUCAAUGCAAUUGUAAAGUGAAAGCGAUUAAAGUAAAAAAGUGUUAAAAAAUAACUAAAUUAAAGGUUUUGAAUAAUAAUUUCCAACUCAUCUUUUAACGCAUCUGUGAAAUCAAAAUUUAAAACAAAUGUCAACAAAUACUGCCUUUAUAAACAAAAGAUUCUUAUACAAAACAACAACAGCAAAUCAUAAAACUAUUAUUAUACAUUGUGGAAAAUUUAUAAUUAUAUUAAAACUGACAAUAUACAUAUAUUUUUUAAAAUACAACAACAAAAAGACUUAUCAUCACCUUUUUUAUACACCAACUGGUUGCCUUAAUCCAAAUUUUACUCAAAUAAAAAACUUUUAUUAAAAAUUAGAAAUAGUAGUAAAUAGUAGUUAAACAAAAAUUUUUUAUACAAAU
Molecule: long non-coding RNA, 2421 nt
Filed under: Lucilia cuprina (Australian sheep blowfly)
Lineage: Eukaryota; Metazoa; Arthropoda; Insecta; Diptera; Calliphoridae
Description: uncharacterized LOC124420012
Source: RNAcentral